GUGAAUCAUCGAAUUUUUGAACGCGAAUUGCACUCUCUGGCAAUACGGAGAGUAUGCCUGUGUGAGGGUCAGUAUAAUCAAAAUCGGAGCGAUGCCGUGGGGGUGACGGACGGGAGUUUGGGUCAUCUUAACUCUUUAAGAGACCUAAAAUUAACAUUCUUUUUUUGCUCACUUUGAGACGUACAUAAUUUUUUUUAUUCGUCUACCCUGUGGCAACAAUUUUUCUAGAUCGUGACUAACA
This 241-nucleotide unclassified non-coding RNA is filed under the name Rhizophagus clarus. RNAcentral describes it as "partial contains 5.8S ribosomal RNA and internal transcribed spacer 2". The stretch from base 1 to 71 matches the Rfam family "5.8S ribosomal RNA", at positions 84 to 154 of the family's 154-position model. The record is from RNAcentral. Lineage: Eukaryota; Fungi; Glomeromycota; Glomeromycetes; Glomerales; Glomeraceae.